UUGGUAAUCCUCUAUUAUAGGCCUGUUUAUUUGUACCGCUAAAGAACGCUUCUUGCUUAUUCCUCACAGGUCAGCGUGGUGGAUUUUAUGGUGGGAUUUCUACAGCUGGGAGAGAACUAUCUGUGAAUUUCCAGAGGACUUCAACAAUGUGAAGAAGUGUCCGAGCUGAGGCCAUCAUAGUGGUCCCAGCUGCCUGCAAGAUCUACGAAUUGAUGGAGGUGACCUAGGAGCAGCUUACCUUUGGCUGCAGCUGCCUGUUUCAUCACUUGCAAGUAUUUGAUUUUGAAAACGUUUAACUUUCAAUUAUUUCACCAUGAGUUCAUGCCAAAAGGCCGAAU
Molecule: long non-coding RNA, 338 nt
Filed under: Struthio camelus australis
Lineage: Eukaryota; Metazoa; Chordata; Aves; Struthioniformes; Struthionidae
Description: lncRNA (ENSSCUG00000011133.1)
Source: RNAcentral